ACAGACCUGUAUAGAUAUUCUAUAUAGACAGAAUAGACAGGGUGCUUUGCACACACCUCCCCAUCAUGGUCACCAUAGCCAGCCGGCCCAGGCAGAUAGAGUCUCACUCAUCUGGGUCACUGGGCCAAGCACAGGUCCCAGGUCUCCUGACGGUGGGAUAGAAAGUGCUGGGAACCAUCACGUGAGGGCUGCCUAUGAGAGGGGGCCCCGUGCUCACCCAGGACACCCACCAGAGCAGCAAGCAAGACCAGCUCAGGGCAGAGAGCACGCCUGGCGCCUGUGUACCUGGAAAGCUCCCACAAACCCUGAGUCCUGCAGAAUGACUGAGCACUCAGCCAGACAAGUAACAAGGACUCGCACAGGAAUGCAGCAAAAGCAUCGUUUGCUUGGUGGGGGGAACAGCAGACCUGGCAUCGGCAACAGGAGGCACUAAGUCCACUCACAGCUUUACAAGACUUCAGUAAAGACAGAGACGAGAAGCAUUCGUACAAGGCGAGAAAACACUGAGGACAAAAACUCCCCCAACUAAUCACACAUAAUGUUGUCCCAACUCAAACCCACAGGUUUUAAACAGUAACUUAACAAAAUGAUUCCAAAGUCCAUAUGAAGAGGUGAGAGCAGCCAGUGAUACUCCAAAUUUCCUAAGACGAGUCCUAUGAAAAUGAACUAUUCUAACUAGAGCAGUCAGAACAAGAACAGAAAGAGAGAUGAAGAAAAUAAAAUACAGCCCCGGGAAAGCCCCAGUGGCAUCUGACACAACAGCGGAAGUCAGGGAUUGUGGAACAGGUUGGGGCAGAGGACAAAAUGUCACAGGACUGCAGAUUAAAAUUUCAGCUGGGUCACCUCUUUUUUAAAAAUAAAUUUCCAUUAGCCGGGUGUGGUGGCAUGCGCAGUGGUCCCAGCUACCCAGGAGGCUGAGGUAAGAGGAUCACUUGAGCCGGGGAGGAGGAGGCUGUAGUGAGCUAUGAUUGUGCCACUGCACUCCAGCCUGGACAACAGAGCAAGACCCUGUCUCAAAAAAAAAAAAAAAAAAAAAAAAAAAUCCCCUAUUUCAAAAGCAACACAUACAUAGUCACUGAAGACAAUUUGGAAAAAGGAAACCUAAAGCUCACUGGUAAUCCCACCACUCAGAGACCACAGCGCAGUCAAUAUGCUGGCAGACAUGGUUUCCGUCUGCUGUC
This is a long non-coding RNA of Sapajus apella (tufted capuchin), 1181 nucleotides long. RefSeq lists it as uncharacterized. Lineage: Eukaryota; Metazoa; Chordata; Mammalia; Primates; Cebidae. The transcript is spliced from 2 exons. The record is from RefSeq and is a predicted model, not a curated record.